AAUACCUCUUUUUUUUUUUUUUUUAAUCAAAAUGCAGCCUCUUUUCUUCUAUUGUUUUUAUUUUCUUCUCUUCUUUCCCAUGCCCUUUCGAAACAAAACUAUGGCUUUCCCUUUCACUUCCCUUCCGAAAAACACCAUCCUGUUUGUCCAAAAACAAUCUCGUUCGCCGGUGUUUCUGAUAGAACUUCUUUUAUUCACUUGUUUUUGGUUUGUUUUCUUUAUUUUCCCUUUCCCUCUCCUUUUCACUUUCCCUUUUGAAAAAGCACCAUCCUAUUCAUCGGCAUCGUCCUCGGCCCAUCGUUGAGAACCCACAAUCCGUGUCCGUGCGGCUUCGUUUCAGCUUCGUCUAUGAUCAAAGAAACAAGUUCCUGGAAAAUCAAGAUUGGCCUGCAAAUUUCUAUAGAAGAACCCAAGUUUCGUUAGUCAAUUCAUUGAAGAAGAAAGUGAAGGAAUAACUCAAAGAGCAUUGGAGGGGCAAAUGAUGGAUCGAGCAAAAAAUUGAAGCACAAAAUUUGCGAUUGUAAAGUUACAAGUUGAGAAAAUUGCACACACACACACGUAGAGAUAGAGAGAGAGAGAGAGAGAGAGAGAGAGAGAGAGAUAAAGAGAUAGAUAAGCAUUUGUGACGGUUUGUCCUCCAUUAAUUUGUAUUUGUUUUGCAGAUAAAUGGAUUCAGAAUAUCAACCAACAUUCGUUCAAAGGUUUUGGGACUUAGAAAUAUUGAAGGCAAAGGUUAAUUGUAGAUCUAACUUCUAGAAAGCCGUGACGGAUAUUAAGUUCAAGCUUACUCCAGCCCAAAGAAAGAAGUUCCAAGAUAGUUGUUUUGGCCACUUUUUGAAGGCCAACGAGAUACAAUUUAGUGGCCACAUCGUCAACAGCAUGCUAUAUAGGCAGUGUGUUUGCAACGACAAGGAUGCUAUGAUUUAGGGUUUCGAGACAAUUCCUUCGUUAGGUCAAACAUUUGGAAAUAAGUUGCCGGACAUGGUAUUUACUCGAAUUCUCAAUUGGCACAUUUUACAAGUGCAAAGAUUUGAAAAGGCAUAUGAAAUCUUUGAUUAUCUUGAUUAUCCCGUUCAUGGCGUAAUGAAUGUAACUAAAUUUGAGCAUGCAUAUAUUGGUAAAAUUGCAUGGGAUGUACAUUAUGACACUACUCCAUACAGUGUUGCACCUGCUGUCAGAGACAAGCCACCACAGGAUAGUCAUGCUGAAAGAGAUGAAGGUGUUCCACUUACAAGUAGUGGAAGAAGUAAGAAACGAGAAUAGGCCUAUAUGGAAAAUAAGGUUAAAGGAGGGAGGCAGUGAAUAAAAGAUAAGCCGACAGACCAUCAUUCAUCAUCGACUGCGGAAGUUUCUGCUCAUGAUCAUGUUAACCCAUCGAUUCCAUCCCAAUCUCCAUAUCAUGAUGAUGUACCUUUGAGAGAGAGAUUAACUAUCCUUGAAGGUGAAAUGACUAAUGUACGGUAAGACUUUAAGGAGUUAAGAAUUGCCAUGCUUAGAGAGUUUGCAAAUUUGGAGACCAAGCUUGAUAAGUUGAUGAAGCACCAAGGAAUGGGAGUUCAUGUCAAUGAUGUCCAGGGUCAAUCUUCAAACCCUCAUUUAUGUGAGUUUGACAACUUGGGAGGUGCUGAUGAGUUUGGUUUGGGAGAUGGGAUGGAAGCAUACAUUGAAGGGGAUAAAAAGAAAGAAGAGUUGGAUCGCGAUGCGACCCCCAUUGAUAGAUAGUCACGUCCAUCGGUUGUAGGUGAUGCAGGAGUAAGUGUUGAGAUUAUAGAGAAAGUGUCUCCAUCAAAGUUUGCGGUUGGAAGAGGUGCAAGAAAGGUAGUAUCUGCUAAACAAAUUAUAGAUAUUAGGAGGCGGGAUAGGAAGGCGGCAGCAGCUAUUACUACUCCUUACAGUGUUGGAGGCUUAUGGAAAAAAUUACAGCACACUUUACUAGGUCCAUCUUCUGCUUUGAAGUUCAACCUAUAUAGACCGGUACCCACUCAAUUUGUAAAAAAUUUUGACCAAUUUAUGAAGUCUGGUCGGGCAGCAAAGGUCGAUAUGGACAUUUUGUCUGUGGGUAAAUAUUUUUUUUCAUUUGCUUAUAACCAAUGAAAAGUAGCUGAAUCACAAUAUGAAUAUUUUUCAAUCAAGAUUUUUAUUUUUUAAUUCGCUAAAUUUUAUACAUUAUUGUUAAACUGCAUGGAUGCAAUUUAAAAUUAAUUCGUAUUUCAAUGCAGCAUAUGGAUGUCAUGUCUUACUUAUUUUAUGUAUGUGCUAACCGAUUUUCUGAUGUUUUUUUAUCCUAGUUUCGAGGUGAUAGAUGGAGGAUUUUGAGUAAGUAAAAAAGUUUUAAAGGCAGUGUCCUAUAUUUGGUUAUUGUGAUUUUGGGUAACUAAUAAUUUAUUUUUUUGUAGGUAUACAUUAAGCAGUCUUAUGGGAAACUUAUUGUCAAUCUAUCUAAUUACCAAUUCUCAUAUACAAUGCAAGCAUAUAUAUUGGGGAUUUGAAUGAAAGAGUCGAAGCCAUGGAAAUGCAUAUGCUGAUCCAAAUGUGUAAUGUUAACUAUUUAUUUAUUUAUUUGUCUUCCUUUAUUUAUUGUUCUAACUAGAUUCUUGUAAUUUACUGACAGUUAUUGAUUCCACUAAACAAGCGAAACAUACAUUGGCUUCUAGGGCACGUGGACUUGAAAAAGCGUCAUAUGAUUAUAUAUGACUCAGAUAAGGCUGCCAACCGAAAGAGGGGAGAUCGUAUUUUAAGAAAUUAUGCAUUGUGUUACUUUAUUUAUUGCGAUCUGCAUGCUUUUAUAAGGAGCAGAUGAAUCUUGUAGACUCCGUUGAUGAGUUUACUUGUGAAUUGGCACAAAAUUUUCCUCAGCAAAGUAAUGGUGGUGACUAUGGCAUUUUUUUGCUCAAGUCCAUGGAGUUUUUACAUGCUAGAUUAUCACUGAGUUUCACACAAAAUGACAUAGAGUUCUUCAGGAGGAUGUAUGUUCAUGAGGCUUACAACAAAGAACUAAGCAUAUGAGUUGGGUGGUGAUGCAUUUUUCUUUACUUUUGUCAUGUUUAUAGAUGCAUAUUUUUUCUUAUUAAUCCCUUUUAAAUGUAAAGAUAAUGAUGGAUUAUGAUGUUCAUUUAACGAAAAUAAUGAUCUGUUUGAUGUAAGGAUAACUAAUUUACCUUAUAGAAAAUGUGCCAUGUUUAUUUAUUA
Long non-coding RNA from Ziziphus jujuba (common jujube), 3189 nucleotides. RefSeq lists it as uncharacterized. Lineage: Eukaryota; Viridiplantae; Streptophyta; Magnoliopsida; Rosales; Rhamnaceae. The transcript has 8 exons. The record is from RefSeq and is a predicted model, not a curated record.